RNAcentral lists this small RNA (29 nucleotides) under Bombyx mori (domestic silkworm). Its description in RNAcentral is "ovarian small RNA-7799". Lineage: Eukaryota; Metazoa; Arthropoda; Insecta; Lepidoptera; Bombycidae. The record is from RNAcentral.
UCUGUGCUUCGUGCUGCAGCGGUCGGCGC